Cornus florida is the source of this 3671-nucleotide RNA transcript. It is a transcript of the gene named outer envelope protein 64, chloroplastic, with no coding region annotated. The transcript is spliced from 14 exons. Lineage: Eukaryota; Viridiplantae; Streptophyta; Magnoliopsida; Cornales; Cornaceae. The record is from RefSeq and is a predicted model, not a curated record.
GCCAAGCUCCGAAAGCUACCUAAAUAUUCCUUCCAGUUAGGUUUCCUCCAUGCUGCUGCUGCCCGCUGUGUUAUCCUCUCUGUCUCUCUCUACUCUCAAAACUCUCUCUCUAUCUAUAGAAUCCUUGAUCAUAUUCUAGGGUUUCAGAAGACGCCCUCUGUUCUUCUUCUGCUUCAGAGAUGGCGUCUUCGUCAGCCAAUUUGUGGGUGUUACUGGGUUUGGGAUUGGCUGGAAUACUCCUGAUGACCAGAAAGCUGAAGAAAGUGGUCAAAGAGGACUUUGGCGCUUUUAUAGAGAGGUUUGAGCUUUUACCACCGCCUCAACCCGCUCCUCCCAAAGCUCCUCAUCCUCUCACCGGUCUAUCCUUCGCUGUCUCCGAUGUAUUUGAUAUUGAUGGAUUUGUAACCGGAUUUGGCAAUCCAGACUGGGCAAAGACACAUGAAUCUGCUUCUCGGACAUCUGCUGUUGUUUCAGCUCUUAUUGAAGGAGGUGCUACAUGCAUUGGCAAAACAGUUGUUGAUGAAAUGGCAUACAGUAUUAGUGGAGAAAAUAAGCAUUAUGACACACCCACCAAUCCUGCUGCUCCUGCACGAGUGCCAGGAGGAUCCUCUAGUGGAGCUGCUGUAGCUGUUGCUGCAAACCUUGUUGACUUCUCCCUCGGUAUUGAUACUGUUGGUGGUGUGAGAGUACCUGCUGGAUAUUGUGGAAUAAUAGGGUUUCGACCCUCAUACGGAGCUGUUUCUCACAUGGGGAUUGUUCCCGUUUCAACAAGUCUUGACACUGUUGGAUGGUUUGCAAAGGAUCCUAAUAUACUACGUCGUGUUGGGCAUGUGCUGCUGCAAGUUCCAUUUGCAGUUCAACGCAAUCCUAGGAAUAUAAUAAUAGCCGAUGACUGUUUUCAAUUGCUAAAGAUUCCUGUUGAUCGGGUCGCUCAGGUGGUCAUCAAAUCUACAGAAAAGCAAUUUGGAAGACAAGUUUUGAAGCAUGAGAACCUUGGAGCCUAUCUUGAUUCUAAAGUUCCAAGCUUGAAAACUUUUCAUAGCAAGAAAUCUAAUGGUGAAGUAAAAUCUUCUUCAUUGAGAUUGCUCGCAAAUGUUAUGCAGUUAAUGAAAAGGCAUGAGUUCAAACAUAAUCAUGAGGAAUGGAUCAACUCAGUGAAGCCUACUCUGGAUCCUGUUAUCUCAGCACAAAUACGUGAAACGCUGGAGAUUGUUGAUGCGGAGAUUGAGAAUUUCCAUGCAAUUAGGAAUGAGAUGCGUUCAGCUCUGAACUCUCUUCUGAAGGAUGACGGAAUUUUAGCAAUCCCUACAAUUGCCGAUCCUCCUCCAAAACUUGGUGGGAAGGAGAUCUCCUCAGAGGACUAUCUGAUCCGUGCAUCUAGUCUGUUGAGUUUAGCUAGCAUAUCAGGUUGCUGUCAGGUCACUGUACCGCUGGGAUCACAUGAUAGGUGCCCUGUUUCCUUGUCCCUCAUUGCAAGGCAUGGGGGUGACAGGUUUUUAUUAGAUACUUUGCAGACCAUGUAUGCAAAUCUACAGGAGCAGGCUGAUAUAGCGGCAAAGUCCAAAUUAUCUAGUAAAAGUUUCAGCCAAGAAACAUCUGCAGAGACUGCUAAAGAAAAGGGUAACCAAGCAUACAAAGAUAAACAGUGGCAGAAGGCCAUCAGCUUCUAUACAGAAGCUAUUAAACUCAGGGGCAACAAUGCAACAUACUAUAGUAACAGGGCUGCGGCAUAUCUAGAAUUGGGAAGCUUCCACCAAGCUGAAGCAGAUUGUACUAAAGCCAUCGAUCUUGAUAAGAAGAAUGUCAAGGCAUAUUUAAGAAGAGGCACUGCUCGAGAGAUGCUUGGCUAUUACAGAGAGGCAAUUGAAGAUUUCAGAUACGCACUUGUUCUCGAGCCAACAAACAAAAGAGCAUCUCUUUCUGCCGACAGGUUAAGAAAGCUGUUUCAAUAGGCGAUUGAAGUGUAAGCACGCUUCAGCAUGGCUGGACCACAGAAACAUUUCUUUCUUUCAAGCCGUUCUUAGUUUCUCUACAUGGGAAGGGCCCAUUUUGAAAUUUUAAAGCAUGCCCUAUGCCUCCAAAGUCUCAAAGACAACAAUGCCUUCCUUUUGUCAGAGGGCAUCCUGAGGUGGAUUUGAGGAGAAAUUCUUGCGACCUGUAAAAUGGAAAGGCUACACUUGAAAUUGAUUUUGAUACCUUUCAAGGUCGAUGGUGGCUAUCUCAGUGGAACCGGAUGCUUAGGAAAUGAGUGAAAAUGCAGAAGAUAUUUGUUAGCUUUUUGGUUUGCAAAUGGAGAAAGCCAGAAAUGCAUGGGUUCUUUCUUAAUCAUAACCAUUGAAGUUCUUGUGAUACUGUUCGUCAAGCUGUUGAUCAAGCAAGUUUCAGGCCGCCCAAUUUGCUUUAUUGAAUCCUCGUGGUUGAGGGAGUUUGUAAAUUUGUUCAACUUAGACCUCAAUCCCUCUUGUCAACUGCAGUGGUGGCAGGCAUCAAGCAAUGGUGAACCUCCCUCAUUUUGAAUUCUCCGUGUGCUCAGCUAUCUCACACCUUUUUUAUCGUCUAUCUCGUAGGUGUGACCGUGACGGUAAAUUUUGGUAAAUAUUUUUAUUAUUUUUAAUUUAUUUGUUUUUUGCACCGCUUCAAAUUUAUGAGUAAACACAAUUAUAAAACAAAGAAACCAUUUUUCAAAAAAAUUCAAAAUAAGGUAAGUCUGUACUUGAACGAGGAGAGUAAAAUUAGUCACUAUUCUUAUAAUUGUGAUUACAUCUCUCAAUAUAAAUAAUCUCUUAAAAUUUUCACAUUACCGAAAACAUGCAAGUUUAUAAUCUAUGCCUUGUCUUUAAAUUUUAAGUUCACUGUUGUGAUAACUCUACACACACAAAUGAUACCUUCACCUAUUUAUAAACCUUUAUGCCUUACAAUCAAUGAGUAUGCCUUACAAUCAAUUAGUAUGAUUUAAUCUCUAGAAUAUCCCUACAAAACUGUCAUAAAAAUAUUUAAUACACUACAAAUCUCUGCAAUCUCUGUAAUAUUCUAAAAUGUUAUUACAAUAUAAUAUUUGAGAAUAUUUUAACACUCUACAACCUCUCCAUUUUUUAGAAGAUUAUAAGAAGUCAACUCUAUUACGUAAGCCAACGCAAUUACAGUUUGCACUGUGUUUGAAGGAAAGAAAUAAAUAAAUAUAUAUAUAUAUAUAAAUGAAUUUACUUCUACAACUUUCGUAUUUAAUAAAUAAAUAUACAAAUAAGAAAUAAAGACAAAACAUAAAGUAAGUGUCAUAUUUAAUGAUUAAAUAUUCAAGUAAAAUAUAAAAAAUGUGCUAAGCAUCAUCAUUCAAAUCGAAGUAAAAUCUUAUGAUAUAUACUUCAUCAUCUUUUAAAGUAGAAAUUAAUACUUUAACUCAUGGGUGCAAAAAGUGAAUGUGUGAGUGUUUCUAUAAUUAAAAAAAUAAAUAAAUAAAGAAAUAAAAAUAAAAAAUAAAUAAUCAUUAAGCUCUAUUUGUUUCGACAUAAAAUAUUUUUUUUGAAAAAUAUUUUUUUUUAGUUAAAAUAUAUUUUUUUAUUUUUCCUUCUUCGAUAUUUGAUAAAGGUUUUGGUUGAGGUUAAGGACGAGUCCAUCGAAUUGGGCAUGUAAAAUAAUUUGUCAAAAAUUGAUAUGUAAGUUUUUUUUUUUUU